UCAAUCUCAUCAGUCAAUCUACAUAGUCAUUGCAACAAUUGAAUUAAACAUCAUCCAUUCAGUCAACUAUUUGUCCAUCUGAAUGGUGGUUGAAUCAACCCAAUGGCACAGCCACCUUCAAAUUCAAAGAGAUACAUGGUAGGGUUUCCUUACCUUGGAGAGAAGGGGAAGCAGCGGACGGGAGGGUCGGCGACAGGCGUCGGGCGAGAUCCAGCCGGGAGAGAUGGGUGACCGGGUGAGGUGAGGGAGGCGGAUGGGAGUGGAGGCGGCGGAGAGUAGGGGAGGCGGACGGGAGGGGGCGCCGAAGGGCGUCGGGCGAGGUCCAGCCGGGAGAGAUGGAUGAAUGUGAGGGGAGGUGGCGGAUGGCAGUGGAGGCGGCGGAGAGUAGGGGAGGCGACGGGAGGGCCAGCGACCGGCGUCAGGCGAGAUCCAGCCGGGAGAGAUGGGUGACCGGGUGAGGGGAGGCGGCGGAGGGUAGGGGAGGCGACGGAUGGCAGGGGAGGCGGCGGUGGAUGCGCCUGGCGGCGGGGGCGGAGUGACGGGGGUGAGAGGGGUGACGAUAGGGUUCGGGCGGAGAUAGCUGGAGCACGCACGAUUCGCGUGACGCGCGGAAUCUACUGUGUUGGCGUGGUCCGUUGGUUUCGAAGAAACACAAGCGAACCCGCAUCUUGCCCGAAUAUUCGCUCGUAGGUCCGAAUAUUUUUUAUAAUCUAUAUACCUUAUAUCGAUAUCUAUACCUAUAUAUAUAUAUAUAUA
Molecule: long non-coding RNA, 756 nt
Filed under: Setaria viridis
Lineage: Eukaryota; Viridiplantae; Streptophyta; Magnoliopsida; Poales; Poaceae
Description: long non-coding RNA (SVIR_LNC004439)
Source: RNAcentral